Ipomoea nil (Japanese morning glory) is the source of this 2131-nucleotide long non-coding RNA. RefSeq lists it as uncharacterized. The record is from RefSeq and is a predicted model, not a curated record. The transcript is spliced from 3 exons. Lineage: Eukaryota; Viridiplantae; Streptophyta; Magnoliopsida; Solanales; Convolvulaceae.
CGAAUCACGAAUUGCAAAUUGAAUCCUCCGUCCGUCCGCCCACCGUCCAGCUCCUCCAUUCCUCCAGCUCCGAGCAAAGCAAGUGGGAGAGAGUAGAAAAGCGAAGAGGCGCAAUCCUCACAGCUCACUCUCCUCUCCUUCGCCUAAUUUUCUCGAUCCGAUUCGAGCUCAGUUUUCGCAGGCAUCUUGUUAGUUGAGAUCGAGUGGCGAUGGCGACAUUAGCAGCUCCAGAGGUGGUGACUCAACCGGCGGAAACGCCACAGCGGCUUUUGCGGCGGCGAUGGGGUCGGAACCGAAAUCGAAAACCGCUGAGAUUUUUUUUUAAGGGGGAAAAGGGGUAAAAUCACGAAGGACUCUCCAAGCUAUACUCUCCCAAGUUCGAAGUCCGAACUCCAAAGUCGUCGGUGUUCUCCGAAGCUGACGCCGUCGCCUGGUCUCGCCUCCUCAGUCCUCACCGGCGCUGCUGCUGCCUGGUAAGUUUUCUCUUUGUUUUUGUUUUUUCGUCCCUUCACUCAGAACACAUGUUAGAUAUAAAGGUUUUCUUCUGUAAUUUCACCUUGCAGUAGCAAUUUUGACUGUUAGAAUGUGUAAUUUCACAUGUGUGAUUAGAAUGUGUAAUUUCACAUGUUUUUUCGUCCCUUCACUCAUAACCAUUAGAAUUUGUGAUUAGUUCACAUAGUGAGUGCAUUAAGAAUUUUCUCUCUAUUGGAAGUGGAAGAGAGGGGCACUGUAUGUAUAGUAUAAGAGCCUAUGGCUGCUAAAAGAUUCAUUGUUCAAGUGUCCUUAUUAUUGUCUUCUGUAUUUUGUUAAACAGAUUUGUAUUUUGAGUUUUGACAGAUGGUUUACUAUUACUCUGGUGGCUUGAAACUGAAUCCUAAUCUGUACCCCUGUGGAAAAGUCUGCCUCAGCCUUCUGAACACUUGGCCUGGUGAAAUUCAUGAGAACUGGCAGCCAAAAAAAUCACCCAUGCUGCAAGUUUUAGUAUCUAUACAAACUUUAGUUCUAAACGUGAAGCCAUUCUUUAAUGAGCCUGGAUAUGAAAAUACUUAUGUUGGUGUUGUGGGGGAACGAAGGUCCAAAGGUUACAAUGAACAAGUGUUUGUCCUCUCCUUGAAAACAAUGAUGUAUACGCUUCGAAGGUCUCCAAUGGUAUGAUCGAUCUUCUAUACUAUACUGAUGUUUUUCUUUCUGUUCCCCCUUUUUCAUUUCAUCAGUUAAAUUCCUGUAAACCUCCUGUCACUUCUCCCAAUGAACCUGGAAAUAAUGGGAAGACUCCACUGAAAAAUCCAUCAAUUGACCAGAAGAAGCCACUGGAAACACUCGGUUCUAUGCCUCCUCCUCCAAGGUAACAUACUUUCCUGCUCUUGUGGUAGCUUUUCAAGUAGACUUUGAAUAUUUCAUCAUUUUACUUCCAAAGCAUAAUCUUCACAUUGGAAUAUUGUUUAUCCUUUAACAACAUACACUCAUACAACAAGAAGCAAAAGAUAUGUGGGGACCUUUUAGGUCAAAGCAUUGAACAACUGAAUGAUGUUGCAGCUAUUAGUGGAGUUAAUCUCAGGGUAAUUCCUCCCGUUUCAACUACCUGGAACAACAAAUCUAUAGUUUUUAUGAGUUAAGUUCUCUAAGUUACGAAUUCAGUAUUAUAAUUUAGUUGCAGAUUUUCUUGCCCUACUAAGUGGUUGAUUGGUGAGUUCAUAUUUUGUUUUAAUCAUAAUUUAGUUGCAGAUUGGUGAGUUCAUAUUUUGUUUUAAUCAUAAUUUAGUUGCAGGUUUUCUUGCCCUACUAAGUGGUUGAUUUUACAGUGUGUUGAGAGAAUAGUUAUUAACAUAGUAUUUGUAUGCUAACUGGACCAUGAAGCAUAAAGAUGAAGAUGGGAAGUCCUUAACUCACCCGGAUAAAAGUUCCAGGAAGGUCCCGGUGGUCCCUUAAACAAAGGACCAUGAAGUUCUUGGUCUGAAGGUGCUAAUUGGUUAGUAUUGGUUUGCACUAAGGCAAUGCGGCAUUAUGGAGUAGUUAGUGGUUUGUAUAGGCAUUAUGCCCUUGUGAGGUGACCACUUUUGGGUCACAUGUAAAACAUUAUUUGGGUGGCAAUGAAUAACUCCUUAAAAAAUAUUUAUUUAUUAAAUUUUUU